AAAGAUAGCGAAGGACGAAGUGAUACCCUCACCUCGUUUCCAAUACUAUUUCGUUCCGCCUGCCUCAACAAUGAAACGCUAGCAGCAGACGAUAGAAAAGCUGGUUGGUAGACACAAAAGCUCUGCGGGGGAAGCACUGCAGGGUGGUUUAGAGAGGCGAUCGAAGAGUUCCGGAGGGAGUACCUCUUGGAAGGAACUCAUUGGGAACUGGGUGUUAGUGACAAUUGUGGUGAUAGUGCUCGUGUUAGGGUAUUGCUAGGGACCAAACGGCAACGAACGAAGCAGUCAGAGCAAAAGUUCGUAGCCGGAAUUUAAGCCAGCCAAAAAAUAUCAAGUACACGCGCCGUUCCUUUGAUGCCUUGACAACAACGGACAAGGAAAAGAUUAGGACGAAACACAAGAAUCAAGAAAAGAAGCCAACUAGUAAGGAGGUGGGAAAGUCCAAUUUAUGCUAUUUCGUCGUGUAGGUGCGACAGUAUCGGUGGGAUGCGCAGGCGUCGGACAAGAGGCUAGAAGGAGACUAGCGUCUAUUGCGUUUGAGCCCUCAACGAUGGGCAUCUCUCCGGGCUCCAUACGAACGAGGAGCAUUAGGGCGAGCCCGCCACAGAAACGUUAGUGGAGCCUGACUGCCGGCUGCAGUGCACAACUGCUUAUGGGUGGCAGUUUUCGUGCCUCGACUUUGAAGCUCGAAUCCGUUUGCCCACGCUGGGGCGACAACUCACGUAGCGCUGGCAGAGGAGCCUAUAGAGCUAGAGGGUGCCAGUAAACAGUCCCUUAUGCAGUCACUUCGCUGUCUACUGCGGCAGUUGGAAGCAGCGGUACAAAUACGGAGAAUUGCCUUCAGGAAGGUGCUUCGACAGAUAAAUGUGUCGGCUUGGGAGAUAGUCGACAGUCACAGCAUUCUACCUGUGUUCACACGUAGAUCGUCCUACGGAUAGAACAGUGACACGGUAGCUAACCCCCGACAUAAAACGUACUAUAUCUACGCCCGGUUUCAAAUCUAGACUCACACACACUGUUGCUACUGCUUCGCCCCGUGCUGCCACAAUCGUUACUAGUAAUACGAUUGCUCUGGUGCCUGAAGCGGCUAAUCCUAUCCCACUUCCCUGUCAGUCUUUCGACUAGUUGCAUGAUUGCGACUAUUCCUCCGUAAGGAUGGUGCGGAUAGAAUGUGCAAUGACCCGUAAAUGAAGCGAAGCAAAAGGACCGGCCAUCUUCAAAACGCACUUACAAGCUAGUCCGUUAGCAUAAAGACAGGGUGCAAAAUCACACUUCCAUCAAAUUUUUCUCUUUAGUUUCGCUGCCUCCACCCGAAGGAAAGACGUUAAACACGACUUCGUGUCGACAGGACGGCAAGAAGGGACACAUGCAGAUAUAACGUAGGCUGAUAGGCAUUUGUUGAUCACUUUUGACUGGAUCUCACCGAGCCCUGGAUCGUAACGCGGACAAGAUGUACAGGGCAGGGAAUGAUCACCGGUUCAACGCUUUUGAAUAUGAAAAACUAGAUGACGCUAUUGUGCCAUGGCGAACGCCUUCUUAUCGCUUUAACGACAAUCAGGAUGCUGAUUUUUAUCACGUUUUGUACGAGAUGAAUUUCGAGGAACAUGCAGAUUCGGAGGGCCGCUAUGGAAAAACGGAUAAUCCUUUGGGUCAACGCCCCGUCGAUCAAAUUCGAAUUAUGCAUUAAUGGACACUUUUCGAGGUGUUAUCCAUAGCAUCGGCAAUGUUUGUGCACCUGAGAAGAAACGAAGCAUACGAAACAAUCAUUUUAUGUACUAAGGAUUUCCAGUAUCGGCUUAUCAGCGGUUUCUUCUAGCCAUUGGUAUUGGAAGGCUCGCGUACGCCAAGAAAUACGCAAUUGUUUGACAAGAUAACUGUCUGCAUGAUCACCCGACCAACGAGCCAAGCAAGUUCGAUCGUAAUUCGGGAAACCAACUGCAGGAAAAGCGAAAAGUCAAAUUGACGUAGAAGUUUCAAAAUGGAGCUGGCGUGCCGGUAAGGAUAAUGAGGACCUGCGGAUACCCAUAGGGCCGGGCAAACAUAAUACUUCCGGUUGCAAGAUAGUGCAAAGCUCACGUUUUAGAGGGAAAUGAGUUGCCCUUUAAUAACGCCUCCCCAAAUUCUUAACCCUACAAUCUAGCAGUGAAAGUGUGCUAUGAACGGUACCGGUAUAAACACAAAAUAAAUGAUGGAACUCCAGUCUCU
Molecule: long non-coding RNA, 2205 nt
Filed under: Varroa destructor (honeybee mite)
Lineage: Eukaryota; Metazoa; Arthropoda; Arachnida; Mesostigmata; Varroidae
Description: uncharacterized LOC111251932, transcript variant X4
Source: RNAcentral